Molecule: long non-coding RNA, 269 nt
Organism: Acipenser ruthenus (sterlet)
Lineage: Eukaryota; Metazoa; Chordata; Actinopteri; Acipenseriformes; Acipenseridae
Exons: 3
Source: RefSeq, a predicted model, not a curated record
GGAGAACAAAGCCAUGAAAACCAUUUCCACAAAAACCCUUGAGGAGGAGCGCCAUCAUUUGAGAAGUAUCAUUCAGAGGCUGAAUCUGCUGAAAGUGCUCAGGGGCACCACCCGGAGGAUCAUGAGUUUACUGAAUCUGGCCAAAUCGUGCUAUCGGACUCCUCAGUUAGGGCUGACAUACACUCACAGAUCUACGAUCAGACACAGGAGAGCAGGAAGGAGCCUCCCAGAGAGAGCAAAGCAACCGUGGAUCACCCUCUGUCGGCGGU